This is an RNA transcript of Lagopus muta (rock ptarmigan), 4958 nucleotides long. It is a transcript of the gene named cyclin J like, with no coding region annotated. The transcript is spliced from 6 exons. The record is from RefSeq and is a predicted model, not a curated record. Lineage: Eukaryota; Metazoa; Chordata; Aves; Galliformes; Phasianidae.
GGCUCGGUGCCAGCGGGAGGUGCGGGGGCCGGCGAAAACGGCUCUUCCGCUCUGUUCUCCGUCCCGGUGGUUCCCCGUCCGCCUCCCAGAGCUUUGUCUGGAUGGGAAGAAAAAGGAUGGAGGAGCAGUGGUGGAAAGGGGAGCUGGCGGCAGACAUCCAUCAGACCCUGAGGACGAAGGAGCGUAACCUGCCUCUGUACAAGGCCCAUUCACCACAGAUUGGGAUGCGCCGUUACUUCAUUGAUCUCUUGACCGUCCUCAGCAACCGUUGCAGUCUCUGCCCUACAGCUCGGCAUCUCGCUAUCUACUUACUGGACCUCUUCAUGGAUCGCUAUGAUAUCAGUGUCAAGCAACUGUAUGUCACUUCAUUUGCCUGUCUUCUCCUAGCAAGUAAAUUUGAAGAAAAAGAAGAUAAAGUUCCAAAGUUGGAGCACUUAAAUAACCUGGCAUACAUGUGCAAUGUGAAUGUGGUACUGAGCAAGAAAGACUUGCUUCAAAUGGAAAUGCUGCUUCUGGAAAACUUCAACUGGAACCUGUGCAUACCAACAGCAGCGCACUACAUUGACUACUACCUCUAUGCAUCUCUUGGUGAGAAUGACCUUCACAACGGCUGGCCAAUCACUUCACUAACCAAAGUCAAAGCUUUUAUGGAAAAAUAUGCAUAUUAUUUCCUUGAUUUUUCAGUGCAAGAUCACAGUUUCCUUCAUUUUCGUCCAUCUCUGAUUGCUGCGGCUUCUGUGUGUGCCUCACGCAUCUGUAUGCAGAUUUCUCCUGCCUGGACAACACAGCUUGAAUUGCUCACAUGUUACUCCUGGGAGCACCUUGCCCAGUGCAUUGAAAUGAUGCUCAUAUAUUAUGAGAAUGACAUCAAAGAAGCCAGUAAUAUAAAAAAGGAAGUAACAAUCCAACAUCAGCAGCAGGAAGUAAUGGAAAACCUGAGACAUGAAGCCACUACUCAAGUUCUAUUUCAGCAAUCCAGUUAUCAUCCUUUAGCCCAGCAUUCAGCUAGUCUUUCCCACUUCCAGUCACCAGUACAGGAUUUGUGCUCUGCUUAUCGUGACUCCUUACAGCCACACAGACCCAGCACUCUGAUUGCUGGGAGUGCUGACAGCUCAAUGCAUCCCUAUGCUGCUCUUCAGACCAACCUGCAGCCAUCUGCCCAGACUCUGCAUGUCCAAAUGCCUAUUGCUGUGCAGGUGGCCUUAGGAACAGAGCCCAGUCACUGCAUUUCCAUGGCUUGUGGUAGUAGUUAUUUCAGUGGUUGCCAUUCGUAUCCAGCUGGGUGUUUUGAUGGAUAAAUAUCGGCACGAGAAUAAGGUGACAUGAGUGAAAACUAAAGAAAAGACCCUGUGAGUGAUACAGAAUGUGUAUCUGAAUGAGAACCGUGAAGGAACAGAAUCCGUACAUCUUACUCAUCCACAGGACGUGGAUCUGGAUCCAUUGAUCACUGGAAGCUGGGUGCCUUUGCCAAGGAUUGUACCUUUCUCUCUUAAUAAGAGAAACAGAAAUGCAGUAACAUACCUCAUGUGAAGUAACUUUGAAAGACAUGCAUAGCAACCCUGUGGAGAUUACUGCUUUCUAGUUCUCAGAUCGUGGCUCACUGAUCUGAGUUGGCUGAAAGCUUGUAUGUUAUUUCAGGCUAGAGUGUUCCUCGAAUUUUUGGUUUAGUAGCAAUGUUCUUAGAGGAUGUUAUUGAAAACAGAGUGCUCUCUCUCCCAGGGAUGUGUCUUUUCAACAGUGGUGGCUUAUACUACUGGAAGCUUCUACAAAAAGUGCCCUGAAAUGGUGUUCACUUAAAUGCGGGUGCUCUUUGUUUCUGCAGAAACAGAUGCAUAGAACACUUCAAUUUUCUUUGACCUGGAGUGACAAUGCAGGAGUAAGACUGCAUAAUAAAAGGAACAAAGGCUGGAAGACUAUCAAAUAAUCUUUGACUUAAAAUUAUCUUGGAAACAAGAUGUGAUGAUACUGAACUGAACACACAACACCGCUCUGCCUUUGCUUAUUUGAAAAAAAAAUAAGCAACAGAAACAUUAAAAAGCAUAAAUGAUCUUAGAACUUAAACAUGCUGCUGCUUUUUGAGACUGGAGAUUACAGUUAGUAAAACUGUUUACAAGCUUUAUCAGGGAUUUAAUGUUACUUGAAGAAAUUUUCUUUGAAAAACUCUCAAAAACUUCAGUCCCUUCAGUUAUUUCGUAGUGGUUUUGGCAGUAGUUCAAUUUUAGGACAGAGGAACUGCUGGUAAUGUGGGCAGAGAUGGGGAACUGGUUAACUUUAUUGGGAAAUUGGUUUAGUUGCAGCACUAGGCAAUCCUGACUUAGUUUUCUUGAAUAUCACCUUGAUUCUAUUGGAAAAUAUAGCUGGUGAACUGCAGAUCAUGUUACUUUAUAAUGAGAUGCACCUACUGCCAGAUACCCAAAUGUUCCCUUUUCGAUUGAGAUCAGAGAAGAUUGUAGAGGUUUUUGUUUGCUUAACUGCAAUGUAGGUAUUUACAAGAAACAGACUUCUGAAAUGUGAAACUUCUAGUUUUGAUACGCAACCACAAUUGUGUGUUUGUUUGAAGACAAUACUGUUGGACUGUCCUUUUUCCCUAAGGAUCUCAGGACUGCAGUACAGAUCAGAAUUUUUGCAGUCUGAUCAACAUGCAAUUCCCUGGAAAGCUUUGUGAAGAAACAUCACUGCAAAAGCACAUACAGAACAACGUGGCUACGAAUAGAAAGCACCGUGCUGCAAUUGCCAAAAUGAACACUAGCAGCCUGUGUCUGGCUCUAUGGUUCUAUGUAGUAGGUAUCAUGGGCACAUUUUUUAAGAUCUGUAAGAUGUCCCAUUGUUAUUUGAAGAGAAAUGAUGAGUGAGCCUGAAGAAAUAUCUGUCACUUCCUGAGAUGGUGUUCUGCAACUGGGUCUGAAUUAUGCUUCAGCUUCCUCAUGCAAGAUAAUGACAUUGUUACUGUCCUAAAGGAACACAGAAGUUGCAUCAAGCCAACCCUGCAUCUACAUAGUGGUAGUCCGUGUGUUCUUGAAGUUUUGCAAAUGCUUGUGGCUUGCUCUCCUGAUUGCUGCAUGUGCCUGAUUUCCUUGAGCACAGACAUCCAGUUAACCAAACCAAACCAAAACAAAAAAAACCCCUUCUCAUAGUCAGAGAAAAAUAGCACUGUCCCUCUUGUACUUAGUUUCUUAGUAAUAGUCUUCAUAUACUGCAUAUACCUGGAACCAUUAACUGCAGAAAUAUUUCUGAUUUAUGGUUUUCAUUAUAUUGUUCAAAAUUUUUAAUGACUGCCAAUUCAUUAUUACUUAUCAGUUAAAAUGUGAUGUUAAUUUGGCAUACAGAUGACAUUUCACUUUUUUUUUUCUUACGAAUCCAAGGACUUUCAAUCAUUAAGUUAUCAAAAUAACUGUUUUACCUCCUCCAUCCUAACCCACUCCAACCUUCACAGGAACCCAAUUACUCUGAUAAAAAUGAUACUGAUUUACUGGUGAAUAUAAGAAUCUUAAUAAGCUUUCCAUUAUCUCUGUUACAGGCAGUUCUGCUUAACAAAACUGUUUGUCUGCUUGAUCAAUCUGAAGUAUUGCAAUUUUAAUGUUCAUAUUUCAGUGGAAGUUUCUAAUAAUGAUAUUUCCAGUCAUUCUUAUGACUGUGAGAGGGGUUGCUUGCUUUUCCCGCACAAAUGUUAUGAAGUUCAAAAUAAGAGCUUUACUGUCCAAUUCUGAUGGCUCUAUUAUUUCCUUUUAAAAGCAAAAUUAACAUCAAUGGAUGAUAAGAACUGAAAUCACUUAUUCACUGUCUAUCAAAGGACCAUCCAGCAGGGUCGACAGCACAAGGCUUUUGGGCUGCUAUCUAUGCAAGUGGCAAAAUGCCUGUGUGCUCCAGAGGACCUGCUUUUAUGGGUCAACUUUGCAGCUCUCUGUUUUUUGCUUUUAUUUGUUUGAUUUAUGCUUAGUAUUGCUUUCUACCCCAUCCAUAUUGCAGCGAAGUAGCAAGGGUGUGAAAUCUAAAUGGAGUGUUCUUGUUGAGGGAAGAAGAAAUGAGUGAUACCUCUUCCAUUCAACUGAAGAGGCUGAAUUGGAAAUAAAUGAUUUGUUAAUGCAGUAGAUUUGUUUGCUGCAUGUACCAAAAGACUCCUUUAAGACUGAGAGGUUUUGGAGUUGACAGAUGUUUUUCUAAUUAGGGGUUCAGCAUUAUGAGUUGCCUUCAAUGCAAAACAAGUAAUUAACUGAGCAACACCUGGUCAUAAGCUGUGUGUAGCCUAUUUUGAGUAAACUAAUGCAGAUAGGAAACAUUAGUAGUCUCAAUUAAGAUGAAAAAUAUAAAAGCAAUUAAGAACACUUUUUGACUGCAAGAUACCUGAAAUGAUUAGGAUUGUCAGUCAUGAACAAGAGAGAAAUUAGACAAUGAACUUUUGUGUACACAAGCCCUGUCUUGUUAUUAAUUAACAAAGGGUGAGAGCAAGCAGCUAGAUGGAUCCAGAAGAAAUGACAGCUGGAAAAAAUGACUUCAGAGCGGAAGUCUGAAAAGAGAAAUCUUUGUGGACCAGAUGUUGGCCAGAAAUUACUUGGAACAGCGCAUUCAAAAACUUUUAUCAAAUUCCUUCUGUGUUUAAGAGAACAGAUUUUCAUGUGUUCUUUGUAAACUGGAUUGUGGUGAAGAAGUAAGAUUCCGAAUUUUCCUGCAACUAUCCGUGAAGAACUUGGAUCAACAAGAGAUGUUGAUGAGAACAAAGUAACCAUGAGAGCAGUGUGAAAGUGGGUCUAAUUUUUAAAGCUGCUUAAUUUCUGCCUUCUAAUCAGUGAAAAAGCAACAGAUGUUCCUCAGGUCUUACGCUUUGAUGUCUAGACAGAAGCUGGAUGGAGCUUCCAUUAAGUGUGUGGUGAACAACAUUUGAAUAUGCCAAGUAUUUAUUAUUAUAUCCUGAAAUAGUGGUGUUGCUUCAGUAUAAAUAAAUGCCAGUUUGUGUUUCUUUA